Molecule: long non-coding RNA, 250 nt
Filed under: Capsicum annuum
Lineage: Eukaryota; Viridiplantae; Streptophyta; Magnoliopsida; Solanales; Solanaceae
Description: long non-coding RNA (CANN_LNC001008)
Source: RNAcentral
GGUGGGGGUUUUAUUCCUGUUAUGAUUCCUUGUUCCGUGUUCCAUGUUUUAUUACGAAUCUGUGUGCUUACCUCUGCUUUCCUCUGUUUUAUAUUACUUAUGGGUGCCGUGUUUAUGUUAUGUAAUCUGCUUCUGUGCUUUACUAUGUGUUUGUGUGGUAUCUCGUGCCUUGAGCCGGGGGUCUAUCGGAAACAGCCUUUCUACUUCACCAGAGGUAGAGGUAUGGUCUGUGUACAUCUUACCCCCCCAG